RNAcentral lists this unclassified non-coding RNA (4157 nucleotides) under Daphnia magna. RNAcentral describes it as "uncharacterized LOC116928153, transcript variant X2". Lineage: Eukaryota; Metazoa; Arthropoda; Branchiopoda; Diplostraca; Daphniidae. The record is from RNAcentral.
AAAACAUAUAGAUAUCAAGUUUUUUUAAUCUGCCAUUCGGUUGGAUAAGAUAAGAUUGUGCCAUGGCUUUGCCGGUUGACAACUGCAACCAAACAUUCUAUCAUCAUAUCUCUGUUUCCGAACGUUGUAAGGUGUAGAAUAUGGCGACGAAAAGCGGAAGAAAAGAAAUCUAUCAUAUCUUUUUGCUGAGCUUGCUUCGCAAGGCUUACAUCAAUAUAGAUUAGGCAAUACUCCUCGAAAGGAUCCAGACAAUUUCGAAGGUACGUGGCCGUUGAACGAACAUUUUGACAGGUUUAAUUCUUGAUGACUAAUUUUCCUUUAUUACAAAUAAUAUGCGAUAUCUAAUCACUGAAAAUUCUGCUUUUUAUUUUAACUGCUUUAAAAGUAAAUAAAAACUUCGUUGCAUUUCAUUCCAUGAAAGAAUUGAACCCAUAGCCGCUAAAUUUGUAAUUAUAACGACCCAAAACAUGCUUAAAAUUCUCAACGUAUUCCGAAAAAUUGUGAAAUUGGACGAAACCGAAGAAGGAAAGCUUGGCAGUGGUAGUUAUGGAAUCGUCUGUAACGGAAUUUACGAAAAAAAGGUGGUAGCAGUCAAGAAAAUAUUGAAAGAACAUGGUGAUCGUGAAAAAAUUGCCAAAACUCGAAGAGAAAUGGAAGAACAUAAAGGCCUUGAUCAUGAAAAUGUACUGAGGUUACUUUACGUUGAGGAUACGACUAACAAAGACUUUACAUAUCUCGUUCUGGAACUGUGCGCUGGAACAUUGACGGACUAUUGCGGAAGCAAAUCUAAAGGACCAAUUUUGCCACCGGAUGAGCUGGUCCUUUACCAAAUCGCCAACGGGUUGAAUUACAUUCAUUCAAGAGAUUUGGUGCACCACGAUGUGAAGCCAGAUAACAUCCUCAUCUCAUCAAUGUCAACACCUGUCAAAAUGAAGUCAUCCGAUUACGGAUUUGUUUAAAAAGUGAGUGCUCAAAAAACUUUUUCGCAGAGCGGAUUAAAAGGAACUUUGAACUGGAUGGCACCUGAAAUGUUGGAAAUUCUAAAUAGUGCCACUGAUGAAACGGAAGUACUGCCACGUGGAACAAUUGAAAGUGAUACAUUUUCAGCUGGAUGUGUCUUUUUCUAUUUUGUGUCUCGCGGCUUGCAUCCAUUCGGCAGUCCUGUUCUCGUUCCCAGCAAUAUCGUGCAAAACAAUCCCAUGCAGUUCGACAGCUACAAACAAAGGAAAUGGAACGCAGUUGGCUGCUGGCUGCACAAGUGGUGACGUCUAAUAUGUCUGGAGUUAUCCCGGUGGUGAGCUUCUUUUUCAAACGGAACAACAUUUGCAGCUGAUCAAGCACCUUGAAUGGAAUCCAAUCAAACAUGACUGGCUGGCUACAUCCACUUUCUUGGAAAACCAAGUGUGCUUGAAUUCGUCGUCAAGCCAAUCAGUGAAAAAAUUUUACUGCACAAGUGAUGGCAAGGGAUACAUCAUGUGUGUAAAGUGGAUAUCUGAAAAUCAGAUCGCUCUAGCGCCAGACCGUGGUGGAAUUGAGGUUUAGGACAUUCACGAAAUGCAAUCAAAGUUCAGUGCGAAAAUUGUUCGAAAAUACAAAGAAAACCUGAGUUUUUCUUUGAAAUUUAAAAAAAUAUUAAUUCUAAUUCAUUUGCUCUUUUACUUGUUGCAGCAUUGCGUAACCGAUUUGCACUGGAAUGAAAAUACGAAAUAUUUGGCCUCUUGUAUGUCAUCCAAUGGCAUUAAGAUUUGGUCAACAGACAGCGAAGAGCCCGUUCACAGCAACAAUUCGUGGAAACAUUCAGGAGUUCAUUAUUUCACUUGUUGUCCAAACUUGAAACCGAGAGAAGACAUCGAAGCUGAAAGGAAAUCGCCCAACAACUUCGUUUUUGCUUGUGCCCUGCUAUAUGGAGAGAUUUUAAUUUGGAAUCCUUUGGAAAAGGAGCAAGAAAACCGGAUUCUUCGUCCUCAUACGCAUCGAGGAUGGGUUAACGCUUUUUGGCUUUCCUUUUCACCUGACGGGCGGUUUCUUUCUUCUUCAUCAGACUAUUCCAAUUAUAUAAUAAUCCUAUGGUCGACUGAAACAUGGACGCCCACUUUCACCAUUCGAGCUCCAUACGGUUUUUUUCACCGUCCUUCGUGGUGGUCCGGGGAUGCUAAUGAAUAUAAAAUAGCAUGUCCCAGGGACAAUCAGCUCCACUUGAUUGAAUACACCGUCAGCAACGAACCAAGCUAACGCCAUAAAUAGUUUCUUACGUAAAUAUUGUUUGACUCGCAAUUUAAAAAGCCGCAUACAAAAAACCACUUCAAACUACUUGUCAAUAAACUGAAAAUGAAAUGCAGCCGACAUUGCUAUUCCUUUUUGUUUUCGGAAAAGAUGCUUAGCAACUCAUCAGUAGACACAUUUUAUGCCUCUGUCUCCCAAAAGGGAGGUACAUUUUCCCUUUUUGUGUUAUUGGAGUAUCCGUUUUGAAUUUUUCAACAGUUAAAACAUAAUAGCUGGAUAGAAAAAAACUUGUUUAGAAACUAAUCUGGUCUAGGGUAGAAACUGCAUUUUGUUGCUUCCUCCCUCUUCGUGUUUGUUUCACGAACGAGACGAAACGCAAAACAGUUUAACAAUUCUGCCACUAGUGACAGGUCGGACAAUGCUGCGUCACUGCUUUUAAAUCCGAAUGAGACUAAACCUACAGACGUUUGUUAGUCAAGUUCGUUCUCUGGUUACAAUCAGCACGUCGUCUGUUUCUCGCAAACUUCGAGUUGAGACUAUCACGUUCAGGCGUUCGAUUCAUUUGAUUGUGUGGCGUUAUAAAGGAUUUGCGUCUGGAUAUCUGUGUUUACAUUAUUAUUAUACUUACCAUUCUACUGUAUGCAUUAUACAAAUAAUUUUAUCUACCUAGAUUUACGGCAUCAAAGCUUAUUACCUCGUCUGUCGUACAACUAAGUCACUUCCUUUAGCUUUUAUACCUAAUUUGCCUUUCAAAGUUUACAGUUAAUUAAAUAUAAUAAUAAUAAUAAUGUAAAGUCUGUUGCUCGACUAUCUUUUUUAUAGCUAGGCUACUACUCCAGCUUCAGCGGUCACUUUGUCUUCUUUCAGUUUAACCGAAGAUUAACUAUAGUCUAAUGCUACAUUUUUUUCGUUUCAAUAUUUGGCUCCUUCUUCCUUGGGAAAUGCAUGCGUGAUCGUCGACGUGAAAAAAAAUCAUUCGAAGGAUUAUUUGCAGUUAAAGAUAUGACCAACUUUACAAUUGUAUAGGCUACAUGUUGUGAAUGGAAGGUUGUACAUGUCGCCAGCAUGCAACAGUGGUCAAUCAAUAACGCAAACAUUAGUAAAAAUGUUUCAAUCAUUUAUUCAUCAUUUCUAUUCGCAAACGGAAAAUGUUUCAUAUGAACUAUGAUCGUUAAUCACGUCUCAUUUGCAACAGGUGAAACGGACGUCAUUCAAGGCCGUGUUGUCGUAGUGUCCAAUUCCUCCAUCGUACGGCUGGACACGAGUUUCCAUUCCGCAAAUGCCAAUUUCACAUUCUUCGCUGUACUGGCCCCAAUCGCCAUGAGUGUUGCCUAGGCCGUUAAUUUCUCCGCCGUUAGAACAUCUAAAACGGAUGUCAUUGGCUGCAGUGUUGUCCGCCUCACUACCAUUAGGACUCACUCGCAACUGGAAACUCUUCAUGUAGCCACCAAAAGGGCACGUCUGAACCGCGUAAUAAUCUCCAGAACUGCAUGCAAACGUUCAGGAUGAACCAUGAAAAUAAUUUGUAAAAGAUUACAUCGAUAAUUCUGUGAUCUCUAUUUGUAGCUUUUACAAUCCAAUUGAGGACGUCAAAUUGGUUACGAAUUCAUCGUUGCAAAACAGAACGAUGGUGUUGAGCGCCGUGUCGUCAAAUCGUGGUGUGGCGAGCUCGUUUCGGGUCUGGUAACUGACGACUCUCGAUCCACCCGGGCAGUGCUUUAGCGGUCCCCACUCACCUUCCGUUCCACCGUUAGUUACUGUAAUAACUUCAAUUGGCGGUCUAGUGGUACUGGGUGGUAGCGUUGGUAUGAUGGUCUCUUCUGUUUGACAAUUGACACCGAUGGCUACGGACAGCAGAUAGAAGUUUACCACGAGUUUAAACAUCUUGACUAAUUGUGGUGAGAGUAGAAAAUAUACUGCGCUGCUGAAUUUCA